CGCUAGCGACAGGCCUAACACAUGCAAGUCGAGGGGCAGCACAAGGAGCAAUCUGAGGUGGCGACCGGCGCACGGGUGAGUAACACGUAUGCAACCUGCCUGUAAGCGGGGAAUAACCCGUUGAAAGACGGACUAAUACCGCAUAAUACUAAAUUACUGCAUGGUAAUUUAUUUAAACAUUUAUGGCUUACAGAUGGGCAUGCGCAUGAUUAGCUAGUUGGAGAGGUAACGGCUCCCCAAGGCAACGAUCAUUAGGGGUUCUGAGAGGAAGGUCCCCCACACUGGUACUGAGACACGGACCAGACUCCUACGGGAGGCAGCAGUGAGGAAUAUUGGUCAAUGGACGAGAGUCUGAACCAGCCAAGUCGCGUGCAGGAAGAAUGUCCCUAUGGAUUGUAAACUGCUUUUGCAGGGGAAUAAAGUGCAUCACGUGUGAUGUUUUGUAUGUACUCUGCGAAUAAGGAUCGGCUAACUCCGUGCCAGCCGCUGC
RNAcentral lists this ribosomal RNA (490 nucleotides) under uncultured bacterium. Its description in RNAcentral is "bacterial SSU rRNA". It matches the Rfam family "Bacterial small subunit ribosomal RNA", at positions 34 to 518 of the family's 1533-position model. The record is from RNAcentral.